GAUGAGGGCGAACCGGGGGAACUGAAACAUACUAAGUACCCCGAGGAAAGAAACUCAACCGAGAUUCCCCAGUAGCGGCGAGCGAACGGGAGGAGCCCAGAACCUGAAUCGGCUUGUGUGUUAGUGGAAGCGUCUGGAAGUCGCGCAGCAAAGGGUGAUAGCCCCGUACACUAAAAUGCACAGGUCGUGAGUUCGAUGAGUAGGGCGGGACACGUGACAUCCUGUCUGAAUAUGGGGGGACCAUCCUCCAAGGCUAAAUACUCCUGACUGACCGAUAGUGAACCAGUACCGUGAGGGAAAGGCGAAAAAGAACCCCGGCGAGGGGAGUGAAAUAGAACCUGAAACCGUGUACGUACAAGCAGUGGGAGCACCUUCGUGGUGUGACUGCGUACCUUUUGUAUAAUGGGUCAGCGACUUAUAUUUUGUAGCAAGGUUAACCGUAUAGGGGAGCCGUAGGGAAACCGAGUCUUAACUGGGCGACUAGUUGCAAGGUAUAGACCCGAAACCGGUGAUCUAGCCAUGGGCAGGUUGAAGGUUGGGUAACACUAACUGGAGGACCGAACCGACUAAUGUUGAAAAUUAGCGGAUGACUUGUGGCUGGGGUGAA
RNAcentral lists this ribosomal RNA (607 nucleotides) under Serratia nematodiphila DZ0503SBS1. RNAcentral describes it as "bacterial LSU rRNA". It matches the Rfam family "Bacterial large subunit ribosomal RNA", at positions 172 to 825 of the family's 2925-position model. Lineage: Bacteria; Pseudomonadati; Pseudomonadota; Gammaproteobacteria; Enterobacterales; Yersiniaceae. The record is from RNAcentral.